ACUCCAUGAAGUCGGAAUCGCUAGUAAUCGUGGAUCAGAAUGCCACGGUGAAUACGUUCCCGGGCCUUGUACACACCGCCCGUCACACCAUGGGAGAGGGUUGCAAACGAAGUAGGUAGCUUAACCUUCGGGAGGGCGCUUACCCCUUUGUGAUUCAUGACUGGGGUGAAGUCGUACCUAGGUAACCGUCGUGGAACCUGCGGUUCUAUCACCUCCUUC
Molecule: ribosomal RNA, 219 nt
Filed under: Escherichia coli
Lineage: Bacteria; Pseudomonadati; Pseudomonadota; Gammaproteobacteria; Enterobacterales; Enterobacteriaceae
Description: partial 16S ribosomal RNA
Rfam family: Bacterial small subunit ribosomal RNA
Source: RNAcentral